AUUAAAAACCAAUGCCCCUCGGGGCUUUCUGGUGAUUCAUGAUAACUUCUCGAAUCGCACGGCCUUGCGCUGGCGAUGGUUCAUUCAAAUUUCUGCCCUAUCAACUUUCGACGGCUGGGUCUUGGCCAGCCAUGGUGACAACGGGUAACGGAGGGUUGGGGCUCGACCCCGGAGAAGGAGCCUGAGAAACGGCUACUACGUCCAAGGAAGGCAGCAGGCGCGCAAAUUAACCAAUCCCGACUCGGGGAGUUAGUGACAAUACAUACUGAUACAGGGCUCUUUUGGGUCUUGUAAUCGGAAUGAGUACAAUUUAAACCCCUUAACGAGGAACAAUUGGAGGGCAAGUCUGGUGCCAGCAGCCGCGGUAAUUCCAGCUCCAAUAGCGUAUAUUAAAGUUGUUGCAGUUAAAAAGCUCGUAGUUGAACCUUGGGCCUGGCUGGCCGGUCCGCCUCACCGCGUGCACUGGUCCGGCCGGGCCUUUCCCUCUGGGGAACCUCAUGCCCUUCACUGGGUGUGCU
RNAcentral lists this ribosomal RNA (518 nucleotides) under uncultured fungus. RNAcentral's name for it is "SSU rRNA". It matches the Rfam family "Eukaryotic small subunit ribosomal RNA", at positions 214 to 732 of the family's 1831-position model. The record is from RNAcentral. Lineage: Eukaryota; Fungi.